AACCGUAAGCACCCUCAAACUCCUAGCAGGGACAAAAGAAAACAAAAGAAGAAAACACAAACUCGGGCCGCUCCCGGACACCCGCAAGGGUGCGAGCGCGGGCGAGGGACCGCGGCCUCGGCUGUCCCCGGCCCGCAGGUGCGCGUGGAGAGCGCCUCCAACAAUGGCCAGGAAGGGCUCAGCCGGCGGUGUCAGUUUGCGGUGCGCGCCCCUGCCCGGAGGAAUACCCCAUUUCCAAAGAAUGACAGCACAGAGAAGCGUGCGUUAGGCUCCCCACCCGGGAGGCGUCCCCCCUCCUCCACCCCGCCCCAUGCCUCCUCUCCACCAGAUUCCCCCUCGCGGGCCAAACAUGAACCUGCCACCAAUCAAGUUCCUGCGCAAGUUAUUUUAUUUCCCGCAGCCCCUCCACCUGCCGGGGCGGUGCUCUGCGCACCCCAGGCUUCCCUCCGGCGACCCCCCGCGGGCUGCAGCAAAAACGGGGCGCCUCGGCGGGGCGGGGGCGGGCGGCUGCCGUGGAUCCGGCCGGCUACCGCCGCAGCUCGGUGGCCUCCGAUUGGCCACGACGCGGGCGGGGAGGCUCAGCGGAGGAGGGAGGCGGAGGCGAGGGCGGCGGCGGCGGCAUCAGCGGCGGCGGCGGGAGGGGAUAGGAGAAGGGACCGGGCCGCGCACCGGGGCAGCGCGUGUGGCGAGCGCGGGAGAGCGGCGGCGGCGGCGGCUGGCCCAGGUCGCGUUGGCGGAGGCCGAGCGGGGUGCGCGGGCGGCGGCGCAGGGAGAGGACGCGGAGCGGCGGGAGGGUGCGGGCGCGCAGGCAGCAGGGCGGCCGCAGCGGUAGCUGCGUGGGACGGAGCCGCGGCGGUAGCGGCCGCGCCGGUCCCUCACCUCGCCGUCGCGCGCGGCCGAGGCCGAAGAACAGUCUUCCCAAGUCGCCGGGGGAGGGCAAAAAAAAAAAAAAAAAAGGAGCCGAGAAGCGGCCCUCAGCUCAGCCUCCAACACAGCGGAGAAGCGGGUCGGCGGGACCGCUGCCCUUUGUGGGCAAAGCGCACAGCGCCCGGAGCGCCCUCCCCGCGGCGCUCUCCUCUGCGUCGUCGUCUCGCCCAGCGGCCGCUGAGAGACGACCGGAGGAAGCAAAACCACUAG
Molecule: long non-coding RNA, 1137 nt
Filed under: Oryctolagus cuniculus (rabbit)
Lineage: Eukaryota; Metazoa; Chordata; Mammalia; Lagomorpha; Leporidae
Description: lncRNA (ENSOCUG00000032603.1)
Source: RNAcentral